Molecule: long non-coding RNA, 287 nt
Filed under: Nicotiana benthamiana
Lineage: Eukaryota; Viridiplantae; Streptophyta; Magnoliopsida; Solanales; Solanaceae
Description: long non-coding RNA (NBEN_LNC001656)
Source: RNAcentral
CCUCUUUGUUAUUCCCAGGCCCUUCAUCGAAGUUGAGUGAGUAACUCAGAGGGUCAUAUUGGAAUUUCGCAUUUCUCCCGCUUUUGUUCCGAUUGAACCGUCGGAUGAAAGUCUUCCAUCUUGGUCCGGCUACGAUCUCCGACCAUUCUCGAAGCUUCUUUAGAGCGUUGAUUCCUUUGGCCCAUACAGACCCUUCCUUGACCGCGCCGCUGCGUAUCUUAUGCCACCACUCCAAGUUAACACGCCUUGUUAAUUGAUUUGUAGAACUGAAAGAUGGGAAGCAGAAA